UCGGUAUCAGUUUUGGCACCCAAGAUGGGACUCUGCUUCUGAACCUCGACAGAUGCUGGGAUCACAGGAACCUCAGCCAGCACUGGGAUUUCUCGGGAGGGACCUUGAUCCCCGGACUGAAGAGCUUGAAGCAAGAACUACACUUUAUGUCCUGGACAGACGUGCUCCUUGAAAACUGCAGGAAGAAGGUGGUACUGAACAAAGAAGAAACAAAUUCAAGAAUUAUUUCCUGAGCAAUGUGAACUGCAACUCUGUACUGCAUGGAGAUAUGUAAGUACUGUUUUGCAUCACUAAACACUGUUAAUCUUUGCUAGCAACCUCCUGUUUGCUGGUUUUAUAGAAAGAGAAGUCUGUAGGUGUAAGUGCCUCAAUGCAUAGCCCCUCCAACUAACCUGCAGGAAGAGCACCAUGAUUUCUCUCAGCUUUGGACUGCCCGAAGGAUGGAAACACCCACCCAGCCUCGCUGUGCGAGCCUGAGCCACAGCCCCACUGUGAGCGCAGGAUGAAACCACAGCCUGACAUGCUGGUGCAUGCAUGUCUUCUGGUCCUCUUCAAGCCGAUAGCCAAAAUUACAGGUACAGACCGGGCCGGAGCUGGUGUGGUGGCACGUAUGGGAACAGCCACCGUUGUUGGCUUCACAGCUAUU
This is a long non-coding RNA of Aquila chrysaetos chrysaetos, 646 nucleotides long. RefSeq lists it as uncharacterized. The record is from RefSeq and is a predicted model, not a curated record. Lineage: Eukaryota; Metazoa; Chordata; Aves; Accipitriformes; Accipitridae. The transcript is spliced from 3 exons.